This 863-nucleotide small RNA is filed under the name Pan troglodytes (chimpanzee). Its description in RNAcentral is "retained intron". The record is from RNAcentral. Lineage: Eukaryota; Metazoa; Chordata; Mammalia; Primates; Hominidae.
AAGUGCGCAGGCGCCGGCAAGAUGGCGGGAGGGCUGCGCCCGCUGCGGGGCCUCCGCGCCUUGUGUCGCGUGCUGCUCUUCCUCUCGCAGUUCUGCAUUCUGUCGGGCGGUGAGCAAUCCCAGGCGCUGGCUCAGUCAGUAAAGGAUCCGGGCCCAACACGCACAUUCACAGUAGUUCCCAGGGCAGCAGAAAGUACUGAAAUCCCACCUUAUGUGAUGAAGUGUCCGAGCAAUGGUUUGUGUAGCCGACUUCCUGCAGACUGUAUAGACUGCACAACAAAUUUCUCCUGUAUCUAUGGGAAGCCUGUCACUUUUGACUGUGCAGUGAAACCAUCUGUUACCUGUGUUGAUCAAGACUUCAAAUCCCAAAAGAACUUCAUCAUUAACAUGACUUGCAGAUUUUGCUGGCAGCUUCCUGAAACAGAUUACGAGUGUACCAACUCCACCAGCUGCAUGACGGUGUCCUGUCCUCGGCAGCGCUACCCUGCCAACUGCACAGUGCGGGACCACGUCCACUGCUUGGGUAGGUCAGAGUUCAAGGACAUUUGUCAACAAAAUGUUUUUCUCUAAGUUUAUUGAAGGGACUUUAACCAGAAAUUUGCAAGUCAAAUUACUUAAUUAGAAACAUUUAUCAGCAGCUGUUUAGAUGUGCCAAGCAUCAUCAAUAAACUCAACGUACUAAAGUAAAGCAUCCAGAAAAUUGCAAUUCUUUUUAAAUGUAAUAUUUGAUAAACUAAGAAAAACAUUUUAAGUAUAAAGCGUAAUACACAGUAAUUGACCUCUACCCAAAAUAACAAUGAAAGCAGCACCAAUACCAUUGCGGCCGCCUGAGUGCCUGAGUGCUUGCCUUCACCUGGUUGCUC